Molecule: long non-coding RNA, 2289 nt
Organism: Coccinella septempunctata (seven-spotted ladybird)
Lineage: Eukaryota; Metazoa; Arthropoda; Insecta; Coleoptera; Coccinellidae
Exons: 5
Source: RefSeq, a predicted model, not a curated record
UGCAUAAUACAUAUAAAGACAAAAAAUUCGAUUUGGUUUUUCGAAAUUCACAAAUCCAAUAUCGUGGAAUAAGAUGCGUAGCCACCUGUCGGAGUCAUUUCGAACUACAUUCCAUAUUUCACCACAAUGGCGGUUAGUUUAUGUUCUAGGUUCUAAUAAUUCAGACCAAAAACCAGCAUUUUUCUGGAAGCUUGUGUUGUAAAAUUGUAUUUUGUCCGUAGAGAUGUGUCCACAAGAAAAAAACGAACACAAAGAUCCUUUUCACAGAAUUCGAAGGAGCUCAACGCUUCAAAAGGGGGUUCAGAGGAGAAGCAACUGGAUCAACAGACCAAAUGGAGCCCUAAUAUCCUAAAUUGAAGAGAAAUCUAAUCUGUUUUUUCAAAGGGCAGGGCUUCUCCUUACAAUGGUGAUAACCGAUAACCACACAUUCCCAAAAAAUGCAUAGGGAUGGUCGAUGAAUCUGAAGUCUCUCAACAAAACCAUACUCGGAACGGAACUGCUUGGAAUUUCUACUGAAUUUUCAAGUGUCUCACAUAUACUAUAGCUGGAUUAUAACUGCAGAUUAGUUUGAAAAGAUGAAGGAUACGACCCAUUUCUGCAAGGAACUUGCCAUCAUCAGGUAUUCUGAAAACAAAUUCGUCCAACAAAUUGUGAAGGAUCUGAAAAUUAAGCUAUAGCCUACCAGCGAAGGUUGACAACUGUGAUAACAUUUAAGUGAAGCAGACCUAUAUUUGAAGACUCGUUAGAUCAAAAGAACGAAGAAACAAAGUUUUUGCUCUGAUUCCUUCAAAACGUUAAAUGAAAGCAACUGGAACUUAUGAGGAAUGCCUAGCAAUCUUUGUCAUCGCGGUUUAUUGAAUAGCAUUAGGAUUUUCGGGGUUUGGAGAGACUCAAGCCAAUUAAUGGAGAAAAAGUUCAAGCUAAGAUGCUGUGUUUGGGGUGGAGUGAAAAUAGCUCAUGCUAUAUAUCAGGAGGCUAAACACCUUGUAAAGUUAUGGACCUAAGUGAUUCAAAGAGAAAAAAGGAUCACACAUAGAAGUAAAACCUGAGAUAAAUUAAUACUUAAGAAUGAGAUAAGUUAACUUGUCUCUAAUGGAACAUUCUAUAGAAGAUAUUUAAAGAUACCUCCUCUGGGCAUGGGUAACUGAUGCUUAUUUCCUAUAUAUUAAUUAUCUUGUUCAGCCCAUAAGCAAGGUUUUGAUAUAUACAUCCAUUUUGAUCAAAAAUGGACUUGACUCCCUUUUCCCUGGCACCACGGAAUCACUGUGCCUUAGAACAAAAAACUAAAUCGGAAUCAUUGACAGAAAAAUGUUAUUCGAUGAAGAAUUCUUUGAACUCAACAAAAAUUUGGAGCGUACAUUUAAAAUGAAGUGUAACAUGGAUCCAGAAACCAGUAGAGAAGUAUUUAUAAAUGAGAGAGUCUAUGAGAAUAGUUAUAGUAGCUAUUUGCUAUCGAUCACCAGCAUUAUUAACCUCAAUUUUUAAAUGUAUAAGUUCAUUUUCAUACCUGUGAGUAUACUAGAUUUUAUUCAUGUUCUUUCAUCUGGGAAAAUUUUUGUCUCUGUUGUACCAUCAUGAAAUUCUGGGAGAACAGUAUUGAUAUUUUUUUUAUAUUCAUCUGUAUCUGCGUAUAUUUUCAAGUCAUAAUCUUAGAUGAAAGAUCUAAAAGGAUCCAGCUAUGAUUUUGUUGUGAUCAUUUCCUUCCAAGAGCACUUCAAUAGAAAGUUAAGUCCUGUUAUGUAGUAUGAAAUUAUGGUUUGUGGAUGGAAGAUGCAAUAGAGAGAAUAGUUCAAGGAAAUGAGUAAAAAUUUUGUUAUUUCCAUUUGAAAUGAGUCAUUCUAACUGCCUAAAAUGUCAGGACUUUGGCAUUCCUACAGUUUAUGAAGAGAAACCGACAUAGUCUCUUUGUCACGCCAUCAAUGUAAACUCACAAUUGAUUAUUUGGAAAAUAUGACUGUAUUUUCAUCCACUGAAGUAUUUUCAAAUGUGAAGUGCAAUAUUCAAAAAUGAAACAACUUGUUUUUAUAGGCAAACCUUCAUUAUUCAAACGAUUCAAAUAUUUUAUCAAUAAUUGAUAACCGAAUACCUUCAAUGAGCAAUCAUACAGUUUCUAAUCUUCCUUCAAUAGCGUCCAGAGGUUACUGAUUUCAAAUUUAAUCGAUCGAUGUAUCAAUAAUUGAUUCCAUAUUAAGGCGCUAUUAAUUUAGUUACUGAAUAGAAUAAUUAUAUGCUCAAAUACUUAAAUUAUAUGUUACUUCCGAUCAAUGAAUAAAGGUGAUUUCUAUGUCU